This 468-nucleotide ribosomal RNA is filed under the name uncultured bacterium. RNAcentral describes it as "partial 16S ribosomal RNA". It matches the Rfam family "Bacterial small subunit ribosomal RNA", at positions 28 to 507 of the family's 1533-position model. The record is from RNAcentral.
GACGAACGCUGGCGGCGUGCUUAACACAUGCAAGUCGAACGGAAAGGCCCUGCUUUUGUGGGGUGCUCGAGUGGCGAACGGGUGAGUAACACGUGAGUAACCUGCCCUUGACUUUGGGAUAACUUCAGGAAACUGGGGCUAAUACCGGCUAGGAGCUCCUGCUGCAGGGUGGGGGUUGGAAAGUUUCGGCGGUUGGGGAUGGACUCGCGGCUUAUCAGCUUGUUGGUGGGGUAGUGGCUUACCAAGGCUUUGACGGGUAGCCGGCCUGGGAGGGUGGCCGGCCACAUUGGGACUGAGGUACGGCCCAGACUCCUACGUGAGGCAGCAGUGGGGAGUAUUGCACAAUGGGCGGAAGCCUGAUGCAGCAACGCCGCGUGCGGGAUGACGGCCUUCGGGUUGGAAACCGCUUUCGCCUGUGACGAAGCGUGAGUGACGGUAAUGGGUAAAGAAGCACCGGCUAACUACGUG